AUUGUCGCCUCAAAAACAUCCGAUAAAAUUGGAAUAAUACAGAGAAGAUUAGUAUGGCCUGUGCAAGGAUGACAUGCACAAAUCGAGAAAUAGUCUAAAUUUUU
Non-coding RNA from Elaeis guineensis (African oil palm), 104 nucleotides. The record is from RefSeq and is a predicted model, not a curated record. NCBI's taxonomy places the organism in Eukaryota, Viridiplantae, Streptophyta, Magnoliopsida, Arecales, Arecaceae.